GGAUAACCUGCCCUAAGGUGGAGGAUAACCCCGGGAAACUGGGGAUAAUACUCCAUAGAUUAGAGAUACUGGAAUGUUCUUUAGUCGAAAGUUCCGGCGCCUUAGGAUGGAUCUGCGGUCGAUUAGGUUGUUGUUGGGGUAACGGCCCAACAAGCCUGUAAUCGGUACGGGUUGUGGGAGCAAGAGCCCGGAGAUGGACUCUGAGACACGAGUCCAGGCCCUACGGGGCGCAGCAGGCGCGAAAACUUUACAAUGCGGGAAACCGUGAUAAGGGAACCCCGAGUGCCCGUACACGCGGGCUGUUAAGGUGUUUAAAACGCAUCUCGAGAAAGGGCCGGGCAAGACCGGUGCCAGCCGCCGCGGUAAUACCGGCGGCUCGAGUGGUGACCACUAUUAUUGGGCUUAAAGCGUCCGUAGCUGGACUGUUAAGUCCCUUGGGAAAUCCGCCGGCUUAACCGGCGGGCGUCUAAGGGAUACUGGCGGUCUAGGGACCGGAAGAGGUGAGAGGUACUCCGGGGGUAGGAGUGAAAUCCUGUAAUCCUCGGGGGACCACCUGUGGCGAAGGCGUCUCACCAGGACGGCUCCGACAGUGAGGGACGAAAGCUGGGGGAGCAAACCGGAUUAGAUACCCGGGUAGUCCCAGCCGUAAACGAUGCGCGUUAGGUGUAUCGGUGACCACGAGUUACCGAGGUGCCGAAGGGAAACCGUGAAACGUGCCGCCUGGGAAGUACGGUCGCAAGGCUGAAACUUAA
This 752-nucleotide ribosomal RNA is filed under the name uncultured archaeon. Its description in RNAcentral is "bacterial SSU rRNA". It matches the Rfam family "Archaeal small subunit ribosomal RNA", at positions 102 to 859 of the family's 1478-position model. The record is from RNAcentral.